Molecule: non-coding RNA, 461 nt
Organism: Paramuricea clavata
Lineage: Eukaryota; Metazoa; Cnidaria; Anthozoa; Malacalcyonacea; Plexauridae
Source: the annotation of a GenBank genome assembly
CUGUGUCAAUUUAAGUAAGUGCAAUUGGAAAAUUAAAAAACGUAGAUGUGUUGAAUUCACAAUUUAUUUAAACGUUCCAAAAAAUAAGUUGGAAGUACACAUUUACUCAACGUGGCCUCCAUUUCUAAGUUCACACAAGUUCGUUCUUUGUCUCAUAUCCAAGACAACUCUUCUUCUUCCUGAGUUUCCUUUAUUUCGAUUUAAACUUUAUGGGGUGGUUCUUCCAUUCAAUGCAUGCAGCCGGUAUUUGUUGACAUUACGCCAAACGCUCGAUGAAGAUUACGUCCUGGAAAAGCUAUUUGAAAUUGUCUUAAUACUCCAACAACGCUUUUUGUUUCGAAAUACUUUUCAACAAUGAAUGUUCUUUCCGGAAUUGUUAGCUUUGGCAUUAUGAAUGGUGAUUGUAAAGUUUUAAACAACAACGUUCUAAAUUUUAGCAAACUACCUUUAAUUAAGUCCCC